GGAAUAUUGGACAAUGGGGGCAACCCUGAUCCAGCCAUGCCGCGUGUGUGAAGAAGGCCUUCGGGUUGUAAAGCACUUUAAGUGGGGAGGAAGGGGUCAACGCUAAUACCGUUGAUCAUUGACGCUACUCACAGAAUAAGCACCGGCUAACUCUGUGCCAGCAGCCGCGGUAAUACAGAGGGUGCAAGCGUUAAUCGGAAUUACUGGGCGUAAAGCGCGCGUAGGCGGCUGAUUAAGUCGGGUGUGAAAGCCCCGGGCUCAACCUGGGAAUUGCAUCCGAUACUGAUCGGCUAGAGUAUGAGAGAGGGAGGUAGAAUUCCACGUGUAGCGGUGAAAUGCGUAGAUAUGUGGAGGAAUACCGGUGGCGAAGGCGGCCUCCUGGCUUAAUACUGACGCUGAGGUGCGAAAGCGUGGGGAUCAAA
This 422-nucleotide ribosomal RNA is filed under the name uncultured bacterium. Its description in RNAcentral is "bacterial SSU rRNA". It matches the Rfam family "Bacterial small subunit ribosomal RNA", at positions 358 to 772 of the family's 1533-position model. The record is from RNAcentral.